GACGAACGCUGGCGGCGUGCUUAACACAUGCAAGUCGAACGGAAAGGCCCUGCUUUUGUGGGGUGCUCGAGUGGCGAACGGGUGAGUAACACGUGAGUAACCUGCCCUUGACUUUGGGAUAACUUCAGGAAACUGGGGCUAAUACCGGAUAGGAGCUCCUGCUGCAUGGUGGGGGUUGGAAAGUUUCGGCGGUUGGGGCUGGACUCGCGGCUUAUCAGCUUGUUGGUGGGGUAGUGGCUUACCAAGGCUUUGACGGGUAGCCGGCCUGAGAGGGUGACCGGCCACAUUGGGACUGAGAUACGGCCCAGACUCCUACGGGAGGCAGCAGUGGGAAAUAUUGCACAAUGGGCGGAAGCCUGAUGCAGCAACUCCGCGUGCGGGAUGACGGCCUUCGGGUUGUGAACCGCUUUCGCCUGUGACGAAGCGUGAGUGACGGUAAUGGGUAAAGAAGCACCGGCUAACUACGUG
This 468-nucleotide ribosomal RNA is filed under the name uncultured bacterium. RNAcentral describes it as "partial 16S ribosomal RNA". It matches the Rfam family "Bacterial small subunit ribosomal RNA", at positions 28 to 507 of the family's 1533-position model. The record is from RNAcentral.